This 520-nucleotide ribosomal RNA is filed under the name uncultured Glomus. RNAcentral describes it as "SSU rRNA". It matches the Rfam family "Eukaryotic small subunit ribosomal RNA", at positions 569 to 1093 of the family's 1831-position model. Lineage: Eukaryota; Fungi; Glomeromycota; Glomeromycetes; Glomerales; Glomeraceae. The record is from RNAcentral.
AGCAGCCGCGGUAAUUCCAGCUCCAAUAGCGUAUAUUAAAGUUGUUGCAGUUAAAAGGCUCGUAGUUGAAUUUCGGAAUCAAUAUGUUGGUCGUGCCUUGGUACGUACUAAUUUAUUGGUUUCUUCCUUCUGACGAACCAUGAUGUCAUUAAUUUGGUGUCUUGGGGAAUCAGGACUGUUACUUUGAAAAAAUUAGAGUGUUUAAAGCAGGCUCACGCUUGAAUACAUUAGCAUGGAAUAAUGAAAUAGGACGUUUGAUUCUAUUUUGUUGGUUUCUAGGAUCGACGUAAUGAUUAAUAGGGAUAGUUGGGGGCAUUAGUAUUCAAUUGUCGGAGGUGAAAUUCUUGGAUUUAUUGAAGACUAACUACUGCGAAAGCAUUUGCCAAGGAUGUUUUCAUUAAUCAAGAACGAAAGUUAGGGGAUCGAAGACGAUCAGAUACCGUCGUAGUCUUAACCAUAAACUAUGCCGACUAGGGAUCGGAUGAUGUUAAUUUUUAAUGACUCAUUCGGCGCCUUACGG